Molecule: long non-coding RNA, 1814 nt
Organism: Oreochromis niloticus (Nile tilapia)
Lineage: Eukaryota; Metazoa; Chordata; Actinopteri; Cichliformes; Cichlidae
Exons: 6
Source: RefSeq, a predicted model, not a curated record
AUUCACUGAUUCAAAAAUACCAAGAUGUCAAACUGCAGCUGAUAUUUCUCCAGACAGAGGAGGAUAAAAUUAAGGCAAAACUCAACAAAAUAAUCCUAAAGGGGAAGAAAAUCAUCUACAACAGUCUAACAGAGACAAUUGAGAAAAACAUGAAAAAGUGCUAUGAAGAUGCACAAAAAAUUUCAGGAAAAGAUGGACUGAAAAAAAUGAGGAAGACUAUUGAGACACAUGUAUCCUUAAAUAGGAACAUUUAUGAGGACGCAAAAAAGACCAUGAUGACGAAGAUGAAUAUAUUGAUGAUCGUCUGCAAGGAAAUGAAGGAAACCAUGGUCCACUCCAUUAAACUCUCACUCAAGGCAUCAGCUUUGAGUGAGAGUCUUCCAGAUGUUUCAGAGCAUCUUGAAACUGUGCAGCAACAUUACAAUGAAGAUUUGUUCCAAACAGUAACAGCAGAAACCUGAUGACCCACUCAACAUCUCUGAGGGAACACUGACCAUGAGGUCUCUGGAUAUCACCACAGACAUUUUUGUCAAGUUGUGUUGUCUGCUGUCUUUGAAUGUUGUGUUUGACUUUUAAUGAAUUUAAUGAAAUUAGAUUUUUUAGUGCAUGUGGGUUAGGUUAAGUGGUGAUUUUGAAUAUAGAUGUGCAUCUGAGCAAUAAUAAUUGUGUUUCUCUGUUAGCCGUGCAACAAAGUUAUUAUAGUUUUGUAUUUUGUUUUAUUUUUAUUUAUUUUUAUUAAGUUUUAUUUUAUUUAUUUGUGACUUUUUGUUUUUAUUUCAGUUUAGUUUUAGUAAGUUUCAAGAUUGUUUUUGUUUCAAUUUUUAUUGUUUGAAAAUGUUUAGUUUUAGUUCAGUUUUAUUACUUUUAUACUUUAAAAAAAAAAAUUAUUGUUGUAUUUAGUGCAAAUGUCAGAGGCAAAACUGAGGAAAACCAUUACAGGUGUUACAAUAGAAACGUUUCACUUUUUUUUUUAAAACAGUUGAACCACUUGUCUUGUAGAUGUCCAGUGUCUCAAACACAUCCAUAAAUACCAUGUCAGGCACAUUGUAAUAACAUUUUUACCAAACUAACAAAUACUGAAACUAAGGCUAUUUUCUCUAGAAACUGAUUUGUAUUUCAAAUUAGUUCACUAAUUCAUUUCUGUUGUUUUUUGUUUUUAUUUAACUAAAAUAUUCAUAUUUAGUUUUAGUUUUUACUUUAGUUUUAUUUGAGUGGAAUAACCUUAGCAACCUGUUCAGGGUGUACUCUGCCUCUCGCCUGACAACUGGGAAAGACUCCAGCAACCCUGGAUUGGAUAAGCAGAAGAAAAUGAAUGGAUGGAGACUUUUAAGUAUUAAUUCCUCGCAGGGGUAUUAAGGUUUUAAUUGUGAGGGUCUAAACCAAAUGGCCAGCACUCUGUCCAAAAAUGUUUUCGUCUCCCCCCCUUGUCAUAUUUAUUCAUUAUUUGUAGACCCUAGUUAUACAGAAAAUUAGAUACAGCGGUAGAACUACAAUAUUACAGAUUUUAAUUUUAGUGCCUUAAACCACAGGAAUACUGUGAUAUUCAGACUCUUUUCAGGUUUAAGGAUUCAAUUUAUGUUUUUCUUUCAAUAGCAGAUUUUCUUUCCCUUGUAGUAAAUUUGAAUAUUACAAUUUAAUGUCUUUGGUCAUGAUUCAUUUAUACUCAUGAUGCAUUUGUCAGUUUUAUUUUUGAGACCUUUAUAGCACAUGACUUAUGUGUACCAUGUUCUUACAUUUCUAACAUAAAUAUUAUUUACUGUAAUACAAUGGUUUAAUUUGGUUGUCACAUGAGUAAUAAAGCAGCAGCAAAACAA